UACGAAGGUGGCAAGCGUUGUUCGGAUUUACUGGGCGUACAGGGAGCGUAGGCGGUUGGGUAAGCCCUUCGUGAAAUCUCCGGGCCUAACCCGGAAAGUGCGGAGGGGACUGCUCGGCUAGAGGAUGGGAGAGGAGCGCGGAAUUCCCGGUGUAGCGGUGAAAUGCGUAGAGAUCGGGAGGAACACCGGUGGCGAAGGCGGCGACCUGGGUAGAUACUGACGCUGAGGUGCGAAAGCGUGGGGAGCAAACAGG
RNAcentral lists this ribosomal RNA (253 nucleotides) under uncultured bacterium. RNAcentral describes it as "partial 16S ribosomal RNA". It matches the Rfam family "Bacterial small subunit ribosomal RNA", at positions 524 to 776 of the family's 1533-position model. The record is from RNAcentral.